GAGGGUAUAGCUCAAGAGGUACAGCAUAUGCUUAGCAUACACAAGGUCCUGGGUUCAAUCCCCAGUACCUCCU
Molecule: transfer RNA, 73 nt
Filed under: Camelus bactrianus (Bactrian camel)
Lineage: Eukaryota; Metazoa; Chordata; Mammalia; Artiodactyla; Camelidae
Also listed under: 2 other names
Rfam family: tRNA
About the family: Transfer RNA (tRNA) molecules are approximately 80 nucleotides in length.
Source: Rfam by way of RNAcentral